GACGAACGCUGGCGGCGUGCUUAACACAUGCAAGUCGAACGGCAAGGCCCUGCUUUUGUGGGGUGCUCGAGUGGCGAACGGGUGAGUAAUACGUGAGUAACCUGCCCUUGACUUUGGGAUAACUUGCGGAAACUGGGUCUAAUACCCGAUAGGAGCUCGUGCUGCAUGGUGGGGGUUGGAAAGUUUCGGCGGUUGGGGAUGGACUGGCGGCUUAUCAGCUUGUUGGUGGGGUAGUGGCUUACCAAGGCUUUGACGGGUAGCCGACCUGAGAGGGUGACCGGCCACAAUGGGACUAAGAUACGGCGCAGACUCCUACGGGGGGCAGCAGUGGGGAGUAUGGCACAGUGGGCGGGAGCCUGAUGCAGCAGCGCCGCGUGCGGGAUGACGGCCUUCGGGUUGUAAACCGCUUUCGCCUGUGACGAAGCGUGAGUGACGGUAAUGGGUAAAGAAGCACCGGCUAACUACGUG
This 468-nucleotide ribosomal RNA is filed under the name uncultured bacterium. Its description in RNAcentral is "partial 16S ribosomal RNA". It matches the Rfam family "Bacterial small subunit ribosomal RNA", at positions 28 to 507 of the family's 1533-position model. The record is from RNAcentral.